RNAcentral lists this ribosomal RNA (483 nucleotides) under uncultured bacterium. RNAcentral describes it as "partial 16S ribosomal RNA". It matches the Rfam family "Bacterial small subunit ribosomal RNA", at positions 30 to 506 of the family's 1533-position model. The record is from RNAcentral.
AUUGAACGCUGGCGGCAGGUCUAACACAUGCAAGUCGAGCGGAUGAAGGGAGCUUGCUCCUGGAUUCAGCGGCGGACGGGUGAGUAAUGCCUAGGAAUCUGCCUGGUAGUGGGGGAUAACGUCCGGAAACGGGCGCUAAUACCGCAUACGUCCUGAGGGAGAAAGUGGGGGAUCUUCGGACCUCACGCUAUCAGAUGAGCCUAGGUCGGAUUAGCUAGUUGGUGGGGUAAAGGCCUACCAGGGCGACGAUCCGUGACUGGUCUGAGAGGAUGAUCAGUCACACUGGAACUGAGACACGGUCCAGACUCCUACGGGAGGCAGCAGUGGGGAAUAUUGGACAAUGGGCGAAAGCCUGAUCCAGCCAUGCCGCGUGUGUGAAGAAGGUCUUCGGAUUGUAAAGCACUUUAAGUUGGGAGGAAGGGCAGUAAGUUAAUACCUUGCUGUUUUGACGUUACCAACAGAAUAAGCACCGGCUAACUUCGU